This 89-nucleotide transfer RNA is filed under the name Gellertiella sp. RNAcentral describes it as "tRNA-Ser". It matches the Rfam family "tRNA". Rfam says of the family: Transfer RNA (tRNA) molecules are approximately 80 nucleotides in length. Their secondary structure includes four short double-helical elements and three loops (D, anti-codon, and T loops). RNAcentral also lists the same sequence under 1 other name. The record is from RNAcentral. Lineage: Bacteria; Pseudomonadati; Pseudomonadota; Alphaproteobacteria; Hyphomicrobiales; Rhizobiaceae.
GGACAGGUGUCCGAGUGGUUUAAGGAGCACGACUGGAACUCGUGUGGGUCUAAACAGCCUCGUGGGUUCGAAUCCCACCCUGUCCGCCA